GAAGAAGAAGAAAAAAAC
Molecule: small RNA, 18 nt
Filed under: Arabidopsis thaliana (thale cress)
Lineage: Eukaryota; Viridiplantae; Streptophyta; Magnoliopsida; Brassicales; Brassicaceae
Description: ATSL006170
Source: RNAcentral